RNAcentral lists this ribosomal RNA (74 nucleotides) under Pleomorphomonas diazotrophica. RNAcentral's name for it is "16S rRNA. Bacterial SSU". It matches the Rfam family "Bacterial small subunit ribosomal RNA", at positions 1 to 72 of the family's 1533-position model. Lineage: Bacteria; Pseudomonadati; Pseudomonadota; Alphaproteobacteria; Hyphomicrobiales; Pleomorphomonadaceae. The record is from RNAcentral.
UUGAACAUGAGAGUUUGAUCCUGGCUCAGAACGAACGCUGGCGGCAGGCUUAACACAUGCAAGUCGAACGCUCG